GACGAACGCUGGCGGCGUGCUUAAUACAUGCAAGUCGAACGGAAAGGCCCUGCUUUUGUGGGGUGCUCGAGUGGCGAACGGGUGAGUAAAACGUGAGUAACCUGCCCUUGACUUUGGGAUAACUUCAGGGAACUGGGGCUAAUACCGGAUAGGAUCUCCUGCUGCAUGGUGGGGGUUGGAAAGUUUCGGCGGUUGUGGAUAGACUCGCGGCUUAUCAGCUGGUUGGUGGGGUAGUGGCUUACCAAGGCUUUGACGGGUAGCCGGCCUGAGAGGGUGGCCGGCGACAAUGGGCCUGCGAUACGGCCCAGACUGGUACCGGAGGCAGCAGGGGGGAAUAUUGCACAACGGGCCGGAGCCUGAGGCAACGACGCCGGGUGCGGGAUGACGGCUUUUGGGUGGAGAACCGCUUUCGCCGGUGACGAAGCGGGAGUGACGGUAACGGGUAAAGAAGCACCGGCUAACUACGUG
This 468-nucleotide ribosomal RNA is filed under the name uncultured bacterium. RNAcentral describes it as "partial 16S ribosomal RNA". It matches the Rfam family "Bacterial small subunit ribosomal RNA", at positions 28 to 507 of the family's 1533-position model. The record is from RNAcentral.